This 383-nucleotide unclassified non-coding RNA is filed under the name Hevea brasiliensis (rubber tree). Lineage: Eukaryota; Viridiplantae; Streptophyta; Magnoliopsida; Malpighiales; Euphorbiaceae. The record is from RNAcentral.
GCCCAACUCACACUUCACGGACUCUUACCUUGACCCACUUAUUCUCCUCCACCCAUUGAAUUCAAGUUUUUGAUAUGGUAUUAGAGCAAAUCUGGCCCUGUUCAAUUCAAAUGUCAAGGUUUCCGGUGUUGCAGCUGCGUCAAUUCAAGGUUUCAAGGGAGGAUUUCAAAUUUCAAAGUGUCUCUCAUCAACAAAUUUUGAUGAAGGGGCUUCCCAAUUAUAUUAGGGCUCAAAGAGGCCAAAGCAAAUGUUAGCAUCAUGGGGAAGCAGUGUCUUUAGAUGAGGCACCUGUAUUCUUAGAUUAUUCUAGUCUUUAACCUAGAUUCAACUUCAACUAACAGCAGAUCUAUUAUCAAUAUCGACUUUUCACUUUUAGUGAUGCU